This 311-nucleotide ribosomal RNA is filed under the name uncultured eukaryote. RNAcentral describes it as "partial 18S ribosomal RNA". It matches the Rfam family "Eukaryotic small subunit ribosomal RNA", at positions 1470 to 1796 of the family's 1831-position model. The record is from RNAcentral.
CCCCUAGACGUUCUGGGCUGCACGCGCGCUACAAUAAUACGCACAGCGAGUAUCACCGAGCUCGAAAGGGCAAGGUAAACAAUAGAAAAGGUACUGUAAUGGUUAUAGAUCCUUGUAAUUAUUGAUCUUCAACGAGGAAUUCCUAGUAAGUAUGUGUCAUCAUCACGCACUGAUUACGUCCCUGCCCUUUGUACACACCGCCCGUCGCUCCUACCGAUUGGGUGAGCCGAUGAAACUCUCGGAUGUAGGCUAUUCAUAGCCCGCAGAAGAGAUUUGAAUCGUAGCGCUUAGAGGAAGGAGAAGGCGUAACA